GCGCUCACUUUGGCAGCACAUAUCCUAAAAUUGGAAUGGCCCCUGCACCAGGAUGCCAUGCAAAUUUGUGAAGCGUCCCAUAUUCAA
This is a small nuclear RNA of Ochotona princeps (American pika), 87 nucleotides long. The record is from Ensembl. Lineage: Eukaryota; Metazoa; Chordata; Mammalia; Lagomorpha; Ochotonidae.